Molecule: ribosomal RNA, 468 nt
Filed under: uncultured bacterium
Lineage: Bacteria
Description: partial 16S ribosomal RNA
Rfam family: Bacterial small subunit ribosomal RNA
Source: RNAcentral
GACGAACGCUGGCGGCGUGCUUAACACAUGCAAGUCGAACGGAAAGGCCCUGCUUUUGUGGGGUGCUCGAGUGGCGAACGGGUGAGUAACACGUGAGUAACCUGCCCUUGUCUUUGGGAUAACUUCAGGAAACUGGGGCUAAUACCGGAUAGGAGCUCCUGCUGCAUGGGGGGGGUUGGAAAGUUUCGGCGGUUGGGGAUGGACUCGCGGCUUAUCAGCUUGUUGGGGGGGUAGUGGCUUACCAAGGCUUUGACGGGUAGCCGGCCUGAGAGGGUGACCGGCCCCAUUGGGCCUGCGAUACGGCCCAGACUCCUACGGGCGGCAGCAGUGGGGAAUAUUGCACAAUGGGCGGAAGCCUGAUGCAGCAACGCCGCGUGCGGGAUGACGGCCUUCGGGUUGUAAACCGCUUUCGCCUGUGACGAAGCGUGAGUGACGGUAAUGGGUAAAGAAGCACCGGCUAACUACGUG